RNAcentral lists this ribosomal RNA (305 nucleotides) under uncultured bacterium. Its description in RNAcentral is "bacterial SSU rRNA". It matches the Rfam family "Bacterial small subunit ribosomal RNA", at positions 337 to 639 of the family's 1533-position model. The record is from RNAcentral.
GCCUACGGGGCGCCGCCGUGCGGCCUCUUUGUCCCUUUCCUCCCGUCUGCCCCAGCCAUGCCGCGUGCAGGAAGACGGCUCUAUGAGUUGUAAACUGCUUUUGUACGAGGGUAAACUCGGAUACGUGUAUCCGUUUGAAAGUAUCGUACGAAUAAGGAUCGGCUAACUCCGUGCCAGCAGCCGCGGUAAUAUGGAGGAUUCAAGCGUUAUCCGGAUUUAUUGGGUUUAAAGGGUGCGUAGGCGGUCGGAUAAGUUAGAGGUGAAAUCCCGAGGCUCAACUUCGGAAUUGCCUCUGAUACUGUUCG